RNAcentral lists this transfer RNA (82 nucleotides) under Bacteroidales bacterium. Its description in RNAcentral is "tRNA-Leu". It matches the Rfam family "tRNA". Rfam says of the family: Transfer RNA (tRNA) molecules are approximately 80 nucleotides in length. Their secondary structure includes four short double-helical elements and three loops (D, anti-codon, and T loops). Lineage: Bacteria; Pseudomonadati; Bacteroidota; Bacteroidia; Bacteroidales. The record is from RNAcentral.
GCGGGUGUGUUGGAAUUGGUAGACAACCCAGACUUAGGAUCUGGUGGCGAAAGCCGUGGGAGUUCGAGCCUCCCCACCCGUA